UACGGAGGUGGCAAGCGUUGUUCGGAUUCACUGGGUGUAAAGGGCAUGUAGGUGGCUUGGUAAGUCCCAAUUGAAAUCCUUCGGCUCAACCGAAGAACGGGUUGGGAAACUGCCAGGCUUGAGUUCGGGAGAGGAAAAUGGAAUUCCCGGUGUAAAGGUGAAAUUUGUAGAGAUCGGGAGGAACACCAGUGGCGAAGGCGAUUUUCUGGCCCGAAACUGACACUGAAAUGCGAAAGCUAGGGGAGCAAACAGGAUUAGAUACCCGAGUA
RNAcentral lists this ribosomal RNA (269 nucleotides) under uncultured prokaryote. RNAcentral describes it as "partial 16S ribosomal RNA". It matches the Rfam family "Bacterial small subunit ribosomal RNA", at positions 524 to 792 of the family's 1533-position model. The record is from RNAcentral.